RNAcentral lists this ribosomal RNA (158 nucleotides) under Pseudomonas aeruginosa. RNAcentral describes it as "partial 16S ribosomal RNA". It matches the Rfam family "Bacterial small subunit ribosomal RNA", at positions 337 to 492 of the family's 1533-position model. Lineage: Bacteria; Pseudomonadati; Pseudomonadota; Gammaproteobacteria; Pseudomonadales; Pseudomonadaceae. The record is from RNAcentral.
UCCUACGGGAGGCAGCAGUGGGGAAUAUUGGACAAUGGGCGAAAGCCUGAUCCAGCCAUGCCGCGUGUGUGAAGAAGGUCUUCGGAUUGUAAAGCACUUUAAGUUGGGAGGAAGGGCAGUAAGUUAAUACCUGCUGUAUGACGUACCAACAGAAAGGA